This 253-nucleotide ribosomal RNA is filed under the name uncultured bacterium. RNAcentral describes it as "partial 16S ribosomal RNA". It matches the Rfam family "Bacterial small subunit ribosomal RNA", at positions 524 to 776 of the family's 1533-position model. The record is from RNAcentral.
UACAGAGGUCUCAAGCGUUGUUCGGAAUUACUGGGCGUAAAGGGCUCGUAGGUGGCCAACUAAGUCAGACGUGAAAUCCCUCAGCUUAACUGGGGAACUGCGUCUGAUACUGGAUGGCUUGAGUUUGGGAGAGGGAUGCGGAAUUCCAGGUGUAGCGGUGAAAUGCGUAGAUAUCUGGAGGAACACCGGUGGCGAAGGCGGCAUCCUGGACCAAUACUGACACUGAGGAGCGAAAGCCAGGGGAGCAAACGGG